GUCUACAGCCAUACCACCCUGAACGCGCCCGAUCUCGUCUGAUCUCGGAAGCUAAGCAGGGUCGGGCCUGGUUAGUACUUGGAUGGGAGACUUACGUGAUUAUGGAGGCUGGGAAGU
RNAcentral lists this ribosomal RNA (117 nucleotides) under Neogale vison (American mink). Lineage: Eukaryota; Metazoa; Chordata; Mammalia; Carnivora; Mustelidae. The record is from RNAcentral.